This 447-nucleotide ribosomal RNA is filed under the name uncultured bacterium. RNAcentral's name for it is "partial 16S ribosomal RNA". It matches the Rfam family "Bacterial small subunit ribosomal RNA", at positions 29 to 523 of the family's 1533-position model. The record is from RNAcentral.
AGCGAACGCUGGCGGCAGGCUUGACACAUGCAAGUCGAACGCCCCGCAAGGGGAGUGGCAGACGGGUGAGCAACACGUGGGAACGUACCCUUUGGUUCGGAAUAACUGGGGGAAACUCAAGCUAAUACCGGAUAAGCCCUUAUGGGGAAAGGUUUACUGCCGAAGGAUCGGCCCGCGUCUGAUUAGCUAGUUGGUGAGGUAAUGGAUCACCAAGGCGACGAUCAGUAGCUGGUCUGAGAGGAUGAUCAGCCACACUGGGACUGAGACACGGCCCAGACUCCUACGGGAGGCAGCAGUGGGGAAUAUUGGACAAUGGGGGCAACCCUGAUCCAGCCAUGCCGCGUGAGUGAUGAAGGCCUUAGGGUUGUAAAGCUCUUUUACCCGGGACGAUAAUGACUGUACCGGGAGAAUAAGCCCCGGCUAACUUCGUGCCAGCCGCCGCGGUAA